RNAcentral lists this unclassified non-coding RNA (253 nucleotides) under uncultured Armatimonadota bacterium. RNAcentral's name for it is "uncultured Armatimonadetes bacterium contains 16S-23S intergenic spacer region". It matches the Rfam family "Bacterial small subunit ribosomal RNA", at positions 524 to 776 of the family's 1533-position model. Lineage: Bacteria; Bacillati; Armatimonadota. The record is from RNAcentral.
GACGUAGGGUGCAAGCGUUGUCCGGAUUUACUGGGCGUAAAGCGCGCGUAGGCGGCUUGUUAAGUGUAGAGUGAAAGCUCCGGGCUCAACCCGGAAAUUGCUCUGCAUACUGGCAAGCUUGAGGGAUGCAGAGGUCUGUGGAAUUCCUGGUGUAACGGUGAAAUGUGUUGAUAUCAGGAGGAACUCCCAUGGCGAAGGCAGCAGACUGGGCAUCAUCUGACGCUGAGGCGCGAAAGCGUGGGUAGCAAACAGG